ACUCAGCUGACGAGUCCCGAAUAGGACGAAACGCGCGUCAAACUGGAU
This 48-nucleotide non-coding RNA is filed under the name Schistosoma curassoni. The record is from RNAcentral. Lineage: Eukaryota; Metazoa; Platyhelminthes; Trematoda; Strigeidida; Schistosomatidae.